Molecule: long non-coding RNA, 991 nt
Filed under: Homo sapiens (human)
Lineage: Eukaryota; Metazoa; Chordata; Mammalia; Primates; Hominidae
Description: HSALNT0068627
Source: RNAcentral
GCCAUAAAAAAGGAUGAGUUCAUGUCCUUUGUAGGGACAUGGAUGAAACUGGAAACCAUCAUUCUCAACAAACUAUCACAAGGACAAAAAACCAAACACCGCAUGUUCUCACUUAUAGGUGGGAAUUGAACAAUGAGAACACUUGGACACAGGAAGGGGAACAUCACACACUGGGGCCUAUUGUGGGGUUGGUGGGGAGAGGGGAGGGAUAGCAUUAGGUGAUAUACCUAAUGUAAAUGACGAGUUAAUGGGUGCAGCACACCAACAUCGCACGUGUAUACAUAUGUAACAAACCUGCAAGUUGUGAUCACAUACCCUAGAACUUAAAGUAUAAAAAAAAAAAAAGAAGAUAGGGUUAGAAUUAGGGUUAGGAGAACCCAGAGGAGAAUAAUAAGGUGGGGGCACGGCUUUGAGGGUCUUCAUUCAUUUUUAUCCAUCCUUAGACUUUCUGCAGACUAAGCUUCAAGUUUUCAACUGCUGCUACAACAAAUUAUCACAAAUUAACAGCUCAAAAUAACACACAUUUAUCAUCAUAGUCCUGAAGGUCAGAAGUCACGAAUGGCUUAGAAGGUUUCUCUGCUCUAGGUCUCACAAGGCCAAAAUCAAGGUGUUGGCUGGCUGGGCUCCUAUCAGGAGGCUCCAGAGAGAAACCGCUUCUAAGUGCAUUCAGGUUGCUGGCAGAAUCCAGUUCCUUGUGGUUGCAGGCUGGGCUUCAGCUGGGGGCCACAUUUAGCUCCUGGAGGCCUCCCUCCUGUCCUUUCAUGUGGCCACCUGUGGUCCAAACCCCCCACAUCUCAGAGUCAGCACAGGCAGGACCAGUCAUCUCCUGCUUGGAAUAGCACGGAUUUCUUCUGCCAAAUCUCUCUUCUGCCUUCGUUUUCUAUCUCUGACUCCAGCCUAGGAGCGUUUUUCACUUUAAGGACUCAGGAUUAGGCUGGGCCUACCUGGAUAAUCCAGGCUAUUCAUUCUCCUUAAGACCCUUAACUUUAAU